ACGUAGGAGGCAAGCGUUAUCCGGAUUUACUGGGCGUAAAGCGGGUGUAGGCGGUCCGCCAAGUCAGAUGUGAAAUCUCCCGGCUUAACUGGGAGGGGUCAUUUGAUACUGACGGGCUGGAGUGCAGCAUAGGAAAGCGGAACUCCCGGUGUAGUGGUGAAAUGCGUAGAUAUCGGGAAGAACACCAGUGGCGAAAGCGGCUUUCUGGGCUGUUACUGACGCUGAGACCCGAAGGCGUGGGGAGCAAACA
This 250-nucleotide ribosomal RNA is filed under the name uncultured bacterium. Its description in RNAcentral is "partial 16S ribosomal RNA". It matches the Rfam family "Bacterial small subunit ribosomal RNA", at positions 525 to 774 of the family's 1533-position model. The record is from RNAcentral.